UCCCGGUCCCCGCGCAGGGCCGGUCCCGGCCGCCUCCGCGACCAGAUCGGCCUUUGCUGACCACCUACUGUGUGCCCUCCCCGCGGCCGAGGCGCCUCCGCCGAGCGGUGCCCACACUUAGGGGGUCCCGGGGGCUCGAGAGACGCCCCGAGGAGCGCGCAAGUUUAAGGGGCUCUCGCUGGGGAGCGGGGAGCUCCGUGGGGUGAAGGCUUUGGUCCAUGCAGCUCUGCUGUUUGGAACCCUGGCGCUGUACCCGAGUCUAUUUCUGCUGCAUGAGACCAUGACCAGGAAUGCACGUGUGUGAGCACUGCAGUGACCCUCCAGCAAGCACCACACACAGAAAGCACGUGAGCACCACAACUAAAGCGUGUGAUGCCCAGAGAGUACGGAACUUCAGAUCCAGGUGUGUGACCCACGGAGAACCCUCGCCCCGUGUGGAUGUGAGCUCCGCCAUCGCAACGACUCUGAAGGAAGGGGAGAUAGAAGGAUCCGGAACUCUACCGUGCCUGCUUCAGCAGAGCUUCAGAUGAGAGACAUGCUGCAGACAUAGGUCAAGGGGCCAUGUGCCAUGUGCCCCCCAGAACCCUGGUGUUGCCCCCAAACCAAACACUAAUAACAAACUACGUAUGAGAAGAACCCUUUGGCUGACUGGAUCUUCAGGAAAGCAAGGACAGCGCGCUGGGAGACGCCAGGGAUCGGACCCCAGCCCUGGGGACCAUCUCUCCGCCUUAAAGCUCAGGCCGGUCCUUCGGACAGCGCGGCGACCCGACGGAAUCCCACGUGCAAAACAGCAACUGCCCCAGCCUGGCCACUGCGGCCACUGCCGCCCCCCGGGACGGAGGGCGGGGGCGCGGGGCGGGAUCCGGGGGACGCGCUGCAAAGUGGGUCGGAGCCGGCGGCGCGGGAGCCCGGCCCGCCCCGUCGGGCGCAGCCCCGGCCCCCCGCGCCCGGCCGGUCCCGCCCAUAAAUCAGCUCCGCCAGCGUUAAUGGCUCCUGACUAAUUGCCUGGACUCGGCUCCGGGCUCGGGUCGCCCGCAUUAAAAUUC
This is a long non-coding RNA of Sorex araneus (European shrew), 1046 nucleotides long. RefSeq lists it as uncharacterized. The record is from RefSeq and is a predicted model, not a curated record. The transcript is spliced from 3 exons. Lineage: Eukaryota; Metazoa; Chordata; Mammalia; Eulipotyphla; Soricidae.